UAGGGAAUCUUCCACAAUGGGCGCAAGCCUGAUGGAGCAACACCGCGUGAGUGAAGAAGGGUUUCGGCUCGUAAAGCUCUGUUGUUAAAGAAGAACACGUAUGAGAGUAACUGUUCAUACGUUGACGGUAUUUAACCAGAAAGUCACGGCUAACUACGUCGCA
Molecule: ribosomal RNA, 163 nt
Filed under: uncultured bacterium
Lineage: Bacteria
Description: partial 16S ribosomal RNA
Rfam family: Bacterial small subunit ribosomal RNA
Source: RNAcentral